CCUACGGGAGGCUGCAGUGGGGAAUAUUGGACAAUGGGCGAAAGCCUGAUCCAGCCAUGCCGCGUGUGUGAAGAAGGCCUUCGGGUUGUAAAGCACUUUCAGUGGGGAAGAAAGCCUUGGGCCUAAUACCCUCGAGGAAGGACAUCACCCACAGAAGAAGCACCGACUAACUCCGUGCCAGCAGCCGCGGUAAUACGGAGGGUGCGAGCGUUAAUCGGAAUUACUGGGCGUAAAGCGCGCGUAGGCGGUCUGAUAAGCCGGUUGUGAAAGCCCCGGGCUCAACCUGGGAACGGCAUCCGGAACUGUCAGGCUAGAGUGCAGGAGAGGAAGGUAGAAUUCCCGGUGUAGCGGUGAAAUGCGUAGAGAUCGGGAGGAAUACCAGUGGCGAAGGCGGCCUUCUGGACUGACACUGACGCUGAGGUGCGAAAGCGUGGGUAGCAAACAGGAUUAGAUACCCUAGUAGUC
RNAcentral lists this ribosomal RNA (465 nucleotides) under Vreelandella stevensii. RNAcentral's name for it is "partial 16S ribosomal RNA". It matches the Rfam family "Bacterial small subunit ribosomal RNA", at positions 338 to 795 of the family's 1533-position model. The record is from RNAcentral. Lineage: Bacteria; Pseudomonadati; Pseudomonadota; Gammaproteobacteria; Oceanospirillales; Halomonadaceae.